GACAGAGGGUGCAAACGUUGUUCGGAAUCACUGGGCGUAAAGCGCGUGUAGGCGGCCGCGCAGGUCGGGCGUGAAAUCCCGUGGCUCAACCACGGAAGUGCACCCGAAACCGCGUAGCUGGAGUCUCGGAGAGGAAGGUGGAAUGCUUGGUGUAGAGGUGAAAUUCGUAGAUAUCAAGCGGAACACCAGUGGCGAAGGCGACCUUCUGGACGAUGACUGACGCUGAGACGCGAAAGCGUGGGGAGCAAACAGG
RNAcentral lists this ribosomal RNA (253 nucleotides) under uncultured bacterium. Its description in RNAcentral is "partial 16S ribosomal RNA". It matches the Rfam family "Bacterial small subunit ribosomal RNA", at positions 524 to 776 of the family's 1533-position model. The record is from RNAcentral.